AUGUUCCCUCUUUUGCAAGUUCUGGUUAUUAGAGAGUGCCCAAAACUGUUGGGGUUGCCUUUCUCAAACCACAUAAUUUCCCCAGAUUGGUUCCCCAAACUACAAGAUCUUGAGAUAUGUGACUGUCCAGAAUUCUUCUUGUCAGUGAUCCCCAUGUCUUGGAUUGAAAGCCUGCGUCAUGUCCUGAUACUGCGGGUAAAGCUACUACAGAGGCUUCAGUGCUCAAAAUCAUCAGAUGGAGUAAAUUUGCUAAUUGAAGGAACGGAUGAUCUGCAUAGCAUAGACCAAGUGUUAGUUUUUGAUAAAGAAACAGGUCUAGAGAAGCUGACACUGGAGAAAUGCCCACCUCUGGAGUUGAAGCACCUUCUGAUGCUAACCUCCCUGAGGACAUUGACUGUAGAGAAUUCAGUUGGUCUAGUUGGACCACUAGGAAGAGGUGAGGAUGAUGUGGAAUGGCUGCUCCCUGUUGAACAUAUUAAGAUCAAGCACAUGAAAGGUAAUAGUGGGGAGGAGUUGACAGAGCUCCUUCCCCACUUCCCAAAGCUCUCCAAAUUGGAAAUAUGGAUGUGUAAAAACAUAAAAAAGCUGGUAGAUGGGGUGGAUGUGCAACAAAAAACAUCAGAAGCAUCAGAGAUGGGGGGAGGUGAAAUAACAGCAGCAGCAGCAGAGGAAGAGGACGAUGGGGUGCUGCUCUUCCCACCUCAUCUAUGUGACUCACUACGGGAAUUGGAGUUCUUUCGCUGCGAAGAGCUGGUCCAGGUGGACCCGCCAACUCUUGUUCCUGGAGGAGGAUGGCUCCAAGCCUUGCGAUCCCUCCAGAGAUUAACAAUACGGGGGUCCCCUAAGUUUCUAUCCACCUUCUCCUUUUCCCGUCACAUUUUCCCUUCCUCCCUGCAGUUUCUGGUGCUUUGGGAUGUGAAAGGCAUGGGGACACUGGAGCCCCUCUCAAACCUCUCCUCUCUCACCAGAUUAGAAUUGUAUUGUUGUGGAGAGGAUCUAAAAUGUCAGGGCUUGUGGUCUCUCCUUACCACCGGGGGCCAUCUCAAGGAAUUAAAAGUCAUGGGCAGCCCUGGAUUCUUUUCUGAUUGGGAUCCCAAUCCCAGACGGGCUUUGGAGGAUGCCGAGGGAGGUGAAGAGCAGCAGACACAGCUUGUCUCAUCCACACUGCGUGAGCUUAAAACAAAUGACGUGACAGGACUUCUUGCUGCACCCGUCUGCAGAUCCCUCUCUUCCUCCCUCACCAAGCUGGAACUUUGGGGGAGUUGGUGUGAAGGGAUAGAGCGAUUUAGCAAGGAGCAAGGGGACGUCCUUCAACUCCUCUCCUCCCUCCAGGAACUGUGGUUUUGGAAUUUCAAGGACCUUCAACAACUCCCUACAGGGCUGCGUAACCUUACCAGCCUCAAGAGAUUAUCAGUCAACUACUGUCCAGCCAUCUCGUCAUUGCCCAACGAUGCCCUCCCGGAUUCACUGGAAAAGCUAGAUGGCACUAAAUGCAGCAAGGAGCUAAAACAGUACUGCAGGGGGGUAGUGGGAACCAUCCCAGAAAUCAAUAUAUACGACUGA
This 1563-nucleotide ribosomal RNA is filed under the name Triticum aestivum (bread wheat). RNAcentral describes it as "partial small subunit ribosomal RNA". Lineage: Eukaryota; Viridiplantae; Streptophyta; Magnoliopsida; Poales; Poaceae. The record is from RNAcentral.